GAAUUGCCCACUCUCCCAUGAGAUAAAAUUACAGUUUCAUGACUCGAAGGCAAUGGUUUCCUGAUUGCUAAUCAGUCACACUGCCCCAGAUAACCUUUUAGGCAGUUAUGUACUGUCAGCAAUCAACGCUAACAUGGUAUAUAACCCAGAUGGUACCAUCUCCUUGACUUCAGCCUUGCAUGAAAACUGUUUGCUUCAGCUUUCCCAGGCAUUGACAAAUACAGUGUUUUAACUCCUGCUCCACCUCUGCCACCAGAGCUAGAUGAAGUUCCCUCCACAUUAUGGGCGUGUUGUGAUAUGGCUUAGGGACAAAGGGCAAGCCUUUUUGGGGGAGGUGUGUGAACACAUGAGGGCUACCCCAUUCAUGUAGAACCAGAGUUAUGAAAAAGAUGAGUAUAUGAGGUGGAGACAAAAAGGAACAAGUGUGGAUACACAAGGUAGAGGCAUGUGAGCCUUCUCCCAUUGCGUCUCUUAUUUGGGGGAGGUGUCACGGCAAGGGUGUAUAAUUUAU
Molecule: non-coding RNA, 511 nt
Organism: Pelobates cultripes (western spadefoot toad)
Lineage: Eukaryota; Metazoa; Chordata; Amphibia; Anura; Pelobatidae
Source: the annotation of a GenBank genome assembly